This is a non-coding RNA of Castor canadensis (American beaver), 600 nucleotides long. The record is from RefSeq and is a predicted model, not a curated record. Lineage: Eukaryota; Metazoa; Chordata; Mammalia; Rodentia; Castoridae.
GAGGGCAUUGAGGAUACUGAUGGCCCCAGCAGGAUCUGCACUGAGACCUUAAGCUCCUUUUCUAAUGGAAGCUAUGUCGGGCAGUUCUCCAGGGAGGCAGGCGCCAGCCCGGAGGAUCUGCCUACCUGGGCGUUUCCUGUCUCACAUCAGCUCACCCAGACCUCCUCCAGGAAAGGACCCCUGAUCUCUCCAGGAUCACAUCCUCUCCACUGACCUCUGAACAGCAGUGGUCAUUGCUCCCAUUUGGGGCGUGUCUGCUUUUACACAUUUCAUCUCGCAUGACCCCUGAGCAAUAGAGGACGCCACCAUCCCCACGUGACAGAGGGAAGACAGAGGUUCAGAGAGUCUCACCAACAUACUGCAGCCACAACCUUGGUUAAUGAAAUAACCAGCACUUGAAUCCAAGACUGACAAUUGACUUCUAAACCUUUGCUCCACAACAAGGCCUGCAAACUAUGGCCAAACUCCUGCCCCUGUCUGUUUUUGUGCAGCCUAAGAACCAUGUGGUUUUUACAUGAUGGUGUGUGGGGAGGGGUAAAUGAAGCAUAAAACUUUGGCAUAUACAAAAAUUAUACGAAAUUAAAAGUUCAGUGUCCAUAA